AAAUGCUCUCCAGUUUCAGAUACGGUGGACAACAAGAUGCAAUAUUCAAGGGCUAUCGGCGAGACUGAGUCGGUUUUCUUUGUGUCCUCGUGUCAACAAUACAGCAAAUACAUCGUAGUGUGCCUCGCUGUGUUGAAUUUAACUGAGAAACAUCCUGAUCUAUAGGUAUGUGUACACAGGUAAUCUGAGGCCCCAUAGGUCAAUAGUUAAUUUUUUCCCUCAAGGGGACAAUGUGUCCCUGCAAGAAGCCACGCAGCGCUGUAAAGAAAUGGUUUUCACUGUUUAGUAUGUUCCUUAGUUUAAGGUUUUGCUUGUCUAACUCCUUUACGACAGCGGUGUGAUGUAACCAAGGAUGUUACUUAAGUGCUUUUAUGCUACUAUUUACUUCCACUACAUCUCCAAAGUACUUGUUACUGUAUACAUCUCAGUGGUACAUAAUGUACUUUUUGCUGUAUUACAUACCAAAAGUAAAUUUUGUUUGUUUUACACUACUAAAUCUCCCAUUCCUCACUUAAAGGGUGACCUGGAGGCUGCUAAUUUGUGACAUUUGGCUGCAUAAUUAAAAUUAACUUGACUUUAAACGCUUAUCGAACAACUAAAAGGAGCCCUUUCUUUCUUCUUGUCCAGUGAGCCGUUUCAAAGUAGGAGUGAGCCCUCCAUUGUGUUUUGUGUUGACACAUUGCAAUAUUUGAGCUACUGAACACCUGCCGAGAGGCAAAGACAAACCAGCUGGUCGGAGACACCGGAUCCGUCCAUCAGGCUUCUGUGGGUUCGUGGUGUCGGGUCAGAAGGGUCCUAACCCUCACAUGAAUAAUUAGCAUUGCGAGCUGGACAAAUGUUGAGGCCAUGAGGAGGAAAUGAGAAUAAAACACGUCAGUGGGUGUUGUUAAAAGAAGGCGGGCCCCGUUCAAAUAUUAACUAGGUGCAGAGGUUUGACCUCCACAUUCCUCAAAGGAAAAAACAAGUUUGAGUUUCAGAAAUACUUUGACAGUGUCUGGUCAAAAAGGUUUCCUGGUAAUCAAAUCUGUAUCAAAAAAAGACACUCUUAAGCAUUUUAUUAACAGUAUUUCCUGUGAGCGUUGUUUUAAAGUUCAGUCCAAACAUGGCAGAGUUUAAAUACAAUAUCAAUGGAAUCAGCAGAUUAAAUACCUAUUAAAUGUUUUUAACUGUUGACUAUAAGCAAUCUUCAGUUUCCUAAAUUAACUAAACAAACUCCAGACAUGGAAAUAACUCCAAAUUAUUACAGUAAUUGCCUCCGUACUAAGAGUUCAGACGCCUGAAUCCUGUGAUCUUUCACACGUGAUGCGGUCACAUGAACUGUGCUUAUUGGCGUCGUUAACGUCGGUCGGCCUGAUCUUCGUUCUACGCCGGUUUCAUCAGCUUGGAGUUAAGCAGCUUCACUCGUUAUAAAAGGGCAACAUGACAGACUUUUCCAGAUUACAAAGGAAACUGAAGGGAAAGUAACAAAGAGGAAAGAUAUCCUUUGAAAAUGGCAGAAAGUCGGCUUUAAAUUAAAAAAAAAAAUCUGACUGAUUAAAUCCCAACUCAUAAACUCAACAAGAAGCACCAGCUGUCCUACUUUAU
Non-coding RNA from Gasterosteus aculeatus aculeatus (three-spined stickleback), 1584 nucleotides. Lineage: Eukaryota; Metazoa; Chordata; Actinopteri; Perciformes; Gasterosteidae. The record is from RefSeq and is a predicted model, not a curated record.